RNA transcript from Fundulus heteroclitus (mummichog), 2909 nucleotides. It is a transcript of the gene named MAP7 domain-containing protein 1, with no coding region annotated. The transcript is spliced from 19 exons. NCBI's taxonomy places the organism in Eukaryota, Metazoa, Chordata, Actinopteri, Cyprinodontiformes, Fundulidae. The record is from RefSeq and is a predicted model, not a curated record.
AGCUUGACCUUCUCGGUCUCUCCCAGUAGAUUCCUCAGCGAAGACCUUCACACCCGCAGGACUGGACCGAACCUCUGCUUUUUCAGAACCCACCGAGCGGAUCUGGUUCUGUAAUCAGACUUCAACACUUUUCUAAACCCCUGGCGUCGGUUCCGUUUGGAUCCUGCUACCCGUCUCCGCUGCCUCCUCUGCAGCUGGGUGUGUUUAGAGAGAGCAGAACCGGAGUUCGGCUCCUGUACCGCGGCGGUUCUGAGGAAUGAACCCGUCUGGACUGCGUCUGGACCGACACCAUGGAUUAUAAAGAGCUGGGGGUCCGUUUGGAGGAGAAGCUGACUCUGACGGACAAGACUCUGCCUCUGCCUGCAGACGCUCCGUCCCUCCAGAACCCAGACAAGAACCCAGAGAAAGACCUUCUGACGCCGGACGACUCGGCCGUCUCGGACCUCUCCCCUAAAACAGACUCCAAAACAGAGACGCCCACCAGGACCGAUGCCUCCUUGAAGACUGAAGCCCGGCCGUCAACGCCCGGCUCCAGCAGCAGCAGCCCCCAACCCAAGAAAGACUCCAUGAGCUCAGAGCAGCGACAGAAACUGGCCAAGGAGCGACGAGAGGAGCGAGCCCGGUACAUCGAGCAACAGACUCAGCUGCAAGCCGCGAAGAAGGCCCAGUGGCUGGAGAAGGAGGAGAAGGCCCGGCGGCUGAGGGAGAGCCAGCUGGAGGACCGGCGGAGGAAACUGGAGGAGCAGAGGCUGAAGGCGGAGAAACGCCGAGCUCUGCUGGAGGAGAAGCAGAGACAGAAACUGGAGAAGAACAAGGAACGAUACGAGGCGGCCAUCAAGAGGUCCACCAAGAAGACGUGGGCUGAGAUCCGCCAGCAGAGGUGGUCCUGGGCCGGCGGCCUCAACCAGACGUCCCGCAGAGAAAGCAGAUGCUCGGCCUCCACGGUCAACUUGCCCAGACAGGUGGACCCUGUCAUUAACAACAGGCUGUCCAAGUCCUCCGCCACGCUCUGGAACUCCCCCAACCGAACCCGCAGCCUGCGCCUCAGCCCCUGGGAGAGCCGCAUCGUGGAGCGGCUCAUGACGCCGACGCUGUCCUUCCUGGCCCGGAGCCGCAGCGCCGCCACGCUGCUCCACAGCGCAGACUCCCCCUCAGCCAGCCCCUUCAACUCCUGCUCACAUCAGCAUCAGAGCGCCGCCGAGCGCUGGCGGGUUUCCUCUGCCAGCACGCCGGACAUCACGCAGCGGCAGCGCCGACGCAACUCCACGCCGGUGGACAAGAAGAAGAAGGAGAAGAAGGACAAGGAGCGAGAGAACGAGAAAGAGAAGAACGCUCUGACAAAGGAGAGAGUGCAGAAGAAGAGACCGACGACAUCAUCACCAAACGCCACCGUCUCCAGGUCCAGGCCUGAGGGCAGCGCUCAGAGGCCCAGGAACAGACCUCCUUCCCCGGCCCCUAAAAGCCGGCCUCUGUCCCCUCUGGUGCCGGCGCCGGCCUCCAGGACCCCCGCGGGAAAGAAGACGCCGCCCCCGCCGGCCAAGACCCGACCCAAACGGGCCCAGACGCCGGCCAGAGUCCAGGCCCAGACGGUCUCUGCCGUCACCGUGGAAACCAGAGAUGAGCCGCCGCCGGCCGCCGGUCCGGAGGAGAGAAAGGCCGCCGGUACCGUUCCCGCCAUAGUGGUCUCCACCGCCCCGCUCACGCCGCCGUCUCUCAGCCCGCCCGUCGUAGCGGCGCCGUCGGCACCGAGCGCCCCGCCGGCGCCGGCCGCCCCGCCGGCGCCGGCCAGCAGGCCGUCGGCCGGCACCAACGACCCGGAGGAGGCGGCCCGCGCCCUGGCGGAGAAACGGAGGCAGGCCCGGGAGCAGCGGGAGAAGGAGGAGCAGGAGCGUGUGGAGCAGGAGCAGCGCAACAGGGUUCUGCGCGAGGAGGCCGCGGCCCGCGAGGCCGAGGAGAGGAAGCGCCGGGAGGAGGAGGCCCGAUUCAUGGCGGAGCAGGAGCGCCUGAGAGAUGAAGCCCAGCGGGCCGAGGAGGAGAAGGAGGCGCAGAGGAGGGCGGAGGCCGAGCAGGAGGAGAACGAGAGGCAGCAGAGACAGAAGGAGGAGGCGGAGGCCAAAGCCCGGGAGGAGGCGGAGCGUCAGCGCGUGGAGCGGGAGAGACACUUCCAGAAGGAGGAGCAGGAGCGGCUGGAGAGGAAGAAGCGCCUGGAGGAGAUCAUGAAGAGGACGAGGAAGAGCGACGCAGGAGAGAAGAAGGACGUCAGAGCGCCGGCACAGGUCAACGGCUCCGGGCUCAGUCAGGCUCCUGGGACCCAGCAGGGCCCCGGCCCGCUGGCCCCCGGCCCUCUGGCCCCCGGCCCUCCUCAGACCGGGCCCCUGGUCGUGAACGGAGUCCAGCCCGGCGCGCAUCAGAACGGCGUCUCGGCCGACGGCGAGCUGCAGCAGAUGAUGAAGAGCGGCCCGCAGCAGCAGCAGCAGCAGCAGGGGCCGCUGGUGGCUGAGCCUUACCUGAUGAAGCCGGGCGCCAUGAAGCCUCAGCACGUCGCAGAGGUCCUGUGAAGCGGCGUGGAGACGUGCCUCGUGCCAAAGCAGGAGGAGCGGAGGUUCUCUGUGGUUCUGCUUCUCCUGAGCCGUCACAGCCGGGCGGAUGGUUACCAUGGAGAUGACUGACUGUACCUGAGCUCUGAAGGUCCCCCACCUGACCCGGAGCAGCUGAUUCUCACUGUCGUUGUGGUGUUCUUCCUGUGACCUUCAGUUGAACUUUGUGUGUUUGCUGUUUUUUUGUCCUGAAUUGUCGAUUAUUUAACGUCAGCGGCGUCGUGCCGGCCGACCGCAGGUGUAAAUGUAAAAAAGAGCGGCUGCUUCCUGUCGCAGGAACCCUGUGAAUAAAUAAAGCUUUGAGAAAAGGGG